Molecule: ribosomal RNA, 1164 nt
Filed under: Burkholderia cenocepacia
Lineage: Bacteria; Pseudomonadati; Pseudomonadota; Betaproteobacteria; Burkholderiales; Burkholderiaceae
Also listed under: 1 other name
Description: partial 23S ribosomal RNA
Rfam family: Bacterial large subunit ribosomal RNA
Source: RNAcentral
GGUCAAGCGAACAAGUGCAUGUGGUGGAUGCCUUGGCGAUCACAGGCGAUGAAGGACGCGGUAGCCUGCGAAAAGCUACGGGGAGCUGGCAAACGAGCUUUGAUCCGUAGAUGUCCGAAUGGGGAAACCCACUCCUUUUGGAGUAUCCAUGGCUGAAUACAUAGGCCAUGCGAAGCGAACGCGGUGAACUGAAACAUCUAAGUAACCGCAGGAAAAGAAAUCAACCGAGAUUCCCAAAGUAGUGGCGAGCGAAAUGGGAUGAGCCUUGCACUCUUUAUUUGUAUUGUUAGCCGAACGCUCUGGAAAGUGCGGCCAUAGCAGGUGAUAGCCCUGUAGGCGAAAACAGUAUGAAAGAACUAGGUGUGCGACAAGUAGGGCGGGACACGUGAAAUCCUGUCUGAAGAUGGGGGGACCAUCCUCCAAGGCUAAAUACUCGUGAUCGACCGAUAGUGAACCAGUACCGUGAGGGAAAGGCGAAAAGAACCCCGGGAGGGGAGUGAAAUAGAUCCUGAAACCGCAUGCAUACAAACAGUCGGAGCCUCGUAAGGGGUGACGGCGUACCUUUUGUAUAAUGGGUCAGCGACUUACGUUCAGUAGCAAGCUUAACCGUAUAGGGCAGGCGUAGCGAAAGCGAGUCCGAAUAGGGCGUUCAGUUGCUGGGCGUAGACCCGAAACCAGGUGAUCUAUCCAUGGCCAGGAUGAAGGUGCGGUAACACGUACUGGAGGUCCGAACCCACUAACGUUGAAAAGUUAGGGGAUGAGCUGUGGAUAGGGGUGAAAGGCUAAACAAACCUGGAAAUAGCUGGUUCUCUCCGAAAACUAUUUAGGUAGUGCCUCGUGUCUCACCUUCGGGGGUAGAGCACUGUCAUGGUUGGGGGGUCUAUUGCAGAUUACCCCGCCAUAGCAAACUCCGAAUACCGAAGAGUGCAAUCACGGGAGACAGACAUCGGGUGCUAACGUCCGGUGUCAAGAGGGAAACAACCCAGACCGCCAGCUAAGGUCCCCAAAUAUAGCUAAGUGGGAAACGAAGUGGGAAGGCUAAAACAGUCAGGAGGUUGGCUUAGAAGCAGCCACCCUUUAAAGAAAGCGUAAUAGCUCACUGAUCGAGUCGUCCUGCGCGGAAGAUGUAACGGGGCUAAGCUAUAUACCGAAGCUGCGGAUGCG